Molecule: RNA transcript, 2789 nt
Organism: Glossina fuscipes
Lineage: Eukaryota; Metazoa; Arthropoda; Insecta; Diptera; Glossinidae
Gene name: trypsin 5G1-like
Exons: 7
Source: RefSeq, a predicted model, not a curated record
UAAUAAUGCAUAGCAAUUAUAAAAAGUCUAUGGGAAUUCGAGCCAAGUCAUUAAAUCGCAGAUGAAAACAGUCGUUUUUUAUUAUUGCCGAUGAAAACACUUUUUUUUUUUGUAAUGAGUAGAUUCGUAAAGUUCUACAUUUGGAUUUUUUCUAAUCUAAUUUAUGUAAAAGAGAGUGCAACAAUCCCUGCCACGGAUUGUUUGUCGCAGUCGGGUAUUGUGUUUCAAAUGGAAGAUUGGGAUAAUUGUACGUUAAAUGAUGGCCAACAGCCGGGCAAGUGUGUACCCCUGGAAGAGUGCCCGGAAGCUCUCAGGAAAUGGGACACAGAACAUAUAUAUCCGAAAACUUGUUAUUUUAUUAAAAACCAACAAAUUGUUUGCUGCAAUUUAACGGAAAGAGACAACGAUCAACAGAAGAAGAAAGACAAGCAAUCAAUUGUAUUUCGGCCUCUCUCUAAGGGAUGUGCAAAUGUGAACCCAAAUGUUCCUGCUCUAGCUAGUCCCACUCUGGUGGCUGAUGCUCCUGCGAUAGGUGUUCCCGCGAUAUCUCAUGGCUUGCCAGUUGGAAUAGAUGAAUUCCCUUUUAUGGCUGUGUUGGGCUGGCCUUUAAACGUUGGCGAUUCAAUAUGGUAUCGAUGCGGUGCAGUUUUAAUAACUCAUCGUUAUGUUUUAACUGCCGCUCAUUGUGCUGAAUUGGGCGGAGCUCCACCCACCGUGGUACGACUUGGCGGCACAAGCCUGACCGAUUCCACGAUUUACGAUGUGAAGAUUAAACGCUUCAUUAAACACCCUGAGUAUAACGCAACUUCCAUAUAUCAUGAUAUUGCCUUAGUUGAAUUGGAAGACGUAAGACACGAUAUAAGUGUAUUUCAAGGUUGCCUUUGGCUUGAAAAUGGUAUACCUGAUAAUAACGUAAUCGCUUUGGGUUAUGGUCAUACGAGCUUUGCCGGCCAAUCUUCAGAUCAGUUACUUAAGGCUUCACUGAUGGUAAUCCCUAACGAGGAAUGCGAAAAAUAUUAUCAAACUGAUAGGGAUGUGGCUUCGUCUGGCCUUGCUGACACACAUCUGUGUGCAGGUGACCCUGAGCAUUCUCGAGACACUUGUCAGGGUGAUUCGGGAGGUCCUCUGGUUAUGGACACGGGCAAAUUUAUCGUUGGUAUAACAUCAUUCGGGUUUGGUUGCGCCGGCGCAGCGCCAUCUAUUUACACACGCGUCUCUUCAUAUAUCGAUUGGAUUGAAGAAGUUAUUUGGCCAGGCUGUUUGGCGCAAACUCAUACCUGCACAUGUAUGAAUCCUAGUUACGUAGAAGUACAUGAAAUAAUCCCUCAAUCGCUAAGUGCCCCAAGAUCGGUUACGGGUACUUUCAGAUUCGGAUUUGAUGUUCACGAACGCAUUUUAAAUAAUGGGGUUCCAAAUACCUCAAAAUGGGUUGCAAAGGGACUAAAACGGCAUUGGCCUGAUUAUGGUUUCAUUUUUAAGGUCCACGGCUGCAUGCAAAGCCGAAGCAUUUCAAAUAUCUGGCGAGUCUUGGAUUAGCGCCCAAGUUACAUAGAAGGAUUUAAAAUACGUCGCAAGAAUUAUUACGAAAAGACUCUGGAUUAAGUUGUUGCUUUUUCGACAUAUUGUUAUAUUUUAAUUGUAACAUUUUAACGUAUAAUGGGUCAAUGCACAAGCACACACUAACGAGCACAUGCAGACAUACAUAUGCAUUAACUGAAAGUUUUAAUUACUCUUGUAGUACAACGAGUAAAGCAAACCGUAUACAAUCCACCCUCGAUAUAUAUACAUACAUGCAUAAGCGCACAAUUGAAUCCAAGCAAACGGCUUUUGUGUGUGCUUAUUGAUGAUCGACAAUAACAAGAGAAAUGCAAAGAAAAAAGAAAAAUGAAAAAAAAAAAAAAUGAAUUGAAAAUAAAUAAAAGUGAAAAGCUAUUGACCCACGGUUAAGUUCAGAAAAUGGGCAAGCAUAUAUAUAUGUAUAAGUAUAUAUAUAUUCGAAUUAAGGUAUAUAUAAGUAUAUAUAUAUACACAAAGGCAACCCUGCUUUACUGGCCGAUUAAAUAACGGAUUUUUUCUUCUGAUGUUGUGUUAAAUCAAAUGAAAAAUUUUUACAUUUCACGAGUUAUUGUUGUUUUCCUGUUUUUUUUUUUUUUUUGAAAUUUCGAUUUUUUAUGAAUAAUGUCAUAAAUUGAACGACAACGGCAACAGCAGUAGCAACAACAACGGCAAGACCACGGAUAACAACAACAACAAGAAGAAGAGAAACAAGGGCGACAAAAAUCAAGAGCAAUCACGGCAGCAAGAGCAACAGCAACAAGCGCGAGAGUGUCAAGAGAACAACAGCAACAAUACGAACAGCAACAAUACAAACAACAACAAUGAUAAUAUAAUAAUAAUAAUAAUAGUAAUAAUAAGAGUAAGAAGAACUCUGGCAACGCACUAAACUGGAGAAAAGUGGAGAAAAUUAAUUUUUUAUAAUUAACUUGUCAUAAUUAUUAUGAUACAUUAAUAUUUAACGAUCUAAUUACAAUGUGUGCAUGCGAUAAACAUAUAAAACAAAAUGGAAGAAAAGGAAAAAAAUUUAUUAAAUUAUUUUCCAUUAUUUUCUAUUUUUAUUAUUUGUGUCAUAGAUUUUAUAAGCGGACAGAAUAGAUUGGCGCUUAUUUUGUUAUCUAAAUCAAUGAGAUUAAAAAUUCUAUUUGUGUUUGUUGACAAAAUGCAUUUCGGCGAAAAUAUUUAUGUAACUCUGAUAAAGGAAAUAAAAACAAAACAAAAAUAACACAAAAAAG